GGAAUCUUGGACAAUGGGGGAAACCCUGAUCCAGCGACGCCGCGUGACUGAUGAAGCCUUUCGGGGUGUAAAGGUCUUUCAGUGGGGACAAUCAUGAUGGUACCCACAGAAGCAGCUGCGGCUAACUACGUGCCAGCAGCCGCGGUAAUACGUAGGCAGCAAGCGUUGUUCGGAAUUACUGGGCGUACAGCGAGUGUAGGCGGUUUGCCGUGUCUGCUGUGAAAUCUCCCGGCUCAACCUGGGAGGGUGCGUCGGAAACUGGCAGGCUGGAGUGCGGGAGAGGAGAGUGGAAUUCCUGGUGUAGCGGUGAAAUGCGUAGAUAUCAGGAGGAACACCGGUGGUGAAGACGGCUCUCUGGACCUCCACUGACGCUGAGACUCGAAAGCGUGGGGAGC
RNAcentral lists this ribosomal RNA (395 nucleotides) under uncultured bacterium. Its description in RNAcentral is "bacterial SSU rRNA". It matches the Rfam family "Bacterial small subunit ribosomal RNA", at positions 358 to 769 of the family's 1533-position model. The record is from RNAcentral.